CACGUAGGGGGCGAGCGUUGUCCGGAAUUACUGGGCGUAAAGGGCGCGCAGGCUGUUAUGCGAGUCUGCUGUGAAAUGUACCGGCUCAACCGGUGCCUUGCGGCGGAUACUGCAUAGCUGGAGUACUGGAGAGGGAAGUGGAAUUCCCGGUGUAGCGGUGAAAUGCGUAGAUAUCAGGAGGAACACCGAUGGCGAAGGCAGGUCUCUGGGCCACUACUGACGCUGAGAAGCGAAAGCAUGGGGAGCGAACAGGA
Molecule: ribosomal RNA, 254 nt
Filed under: uncultured prokaryote
Description: partial 16S ribosomal RNA
Rfam family: Bacterial small subunit ribosomal RNA
Source: RNAcentral